Molecule: small RNA, 116 nt
Filed under: Marmota monax (woodchuck)
Lineage: Eukaryota; Metazoa; Chordata; Mammalia; Rodentia; Sciuridae
Source: RNAcentral
GCCAGGUGUGGUGAAGCACACCUGUGUUCCCAGUUACUCAGGAGGCUGAGAUGGGAGGAUCACUUGAGUCCAAGUGAUUGAGAUCAGUCUGGGCAACGUGGAAGACCCUGUCUCAA